RNAcentral lists this ribosomal RNA (1975 nucleotides) under Triticum aestivum (bread wheat). RNAcentral's name for it is "partial small subunit ribosomal RNA". Lineage: Eukaryota; Viridiplantae; Streptophyta; Magnoliopsida; Poales; Poaceae. The record is from RNAcentral.
CGCCGCCGCCACACUCCCGCAUCCACCUCGUGAUCCUCCCAGAUCCGGUCAAACCAACCACCUGCAACCAUCUCCUUCUCCUCGAAUUCAUCCAUCGGCCAAUCACCACCGAUCCAUCCAAUCACCAAUCAGCUCGGCCGCCUCCCCUGUUCGGUCCUCGCCGCAUACGCAGCUCCCCUCGCACCAGCGUAGCAGCGCCAAAGCCGCUGUCCUCGCUCAGGAGCUCACCCCCAAAGCUCCUCCUGCCUCGUCCUCUAGCUCCUGGACGCAUCCGGCCGCCCGCGGCCGUCGUCGUCCACGCCUACAGGAGCCAGCAGCUGCAUCCCCGAGCGGGGAACGCUCAAUCUGCUCGUGCUAGAGCACCUCCGCGGAGCCGAGGAGCUCCACGCCUUGCCUCCGCCACCUUCAUCGUUCUGCGCCGCCGUCACCCCGUAUCCCCGACCACCUCGCCGGAGCUCCUCUCCAGCACGCCAGCCACCCCGACCAUGCCCGGCCUCCCCGCUCGCCCUCCUCUCGUGUGGAUCGAGCAGCAGUUCUUCCCGAGCGGAGCGCUCGCUUCAGCCGUGUCCGCGAGCCGCAGGUCACCGGAGCAGAUCCAAGCAGCGUACCCCUGGCGCCCUACUCCAGCCCUCGUCCUCGCCGGACUCCGUCGCACCCAGGACAGCACCUCCGGCCGUCCCUUUUUCUUCUCCGUCUCUGCAUCCUAUCUCUUUUCCCGUAUCUCUGAAACUACUCUUUGCUUCUCUGAACAACAGCGCCAUGGAUGUCGCCCCAAGCUUCGUCGCGGGUCGCCUCCGUCUCGCCUCCGGUCAGAUCCGGCGCCCCCGUGGCCGUAUCCCGCUCGUCCCCGUCUGUUCCUGGCCGCCGUUUCCCUGCCCCGCCGCUGCAAGUCCUGCGUCUUGCCUCCUCUGACCGCUGCCGCUGCGUCGAGCGAGGCCAGUCAACCGCGCGCUGGUUGACCGCAUCGUCAACCUGCCCGAGCGGGUCAACCUCCAGCCGCGCGUGAAGCCCAGCUCCCAGCCGGCCUGCUGCUGGCAAGGAGGCCUGCCUUGGCCUCUCCCUCUCCGCAAACUGGGCCUGGCCAAUGGGUGAGGCACACCCCAGCACCCCUGUUACUAUCCUGCUAUUGGGCCAGAUCUUAGAUGCGGCCCGAAUCUUGUUUUUUUCCCGUGGAACGAAUUUAGCUAUUAUUCCUGAGACGGUUGUUUUGCAGAAAAGUCCCUAGAGUUCAUGCAUUUAAUAUCUAAUUAACCGUGCAUCGGAUUAAAAUAAGUUAUAUAUGAAACAUGACUAGAAUUUCAUCUAGUUUCAUAUUAUGCCAUUUUCAUCCAUGUUUAACAUGUUUAAAAUGUUGUUUGAUUAAAUUUUGCUUUAUGUCAUGUUAAAAUGCUUUAAUUCAUAACUAAAUAAUCGUAGCUCGGUUAUUAAUAAACUUUAUAUGUAAAUGGGGUGGAGAAAUGCCUAGUUUAACAUGGUGGUUUUAUUUUGCAUGUUUAAUAACUCUAAAAUUGUGUUUAGGGCAGAACAGUACCAAAUCUAAUUUAUGCACAUGAGGAGUUUCCGGAUUUGUUGUUGCUUCCGGCCUCAUUUAACCUUGACUAGAUAGGUAGUUUUACUUUGCUUCACCCUCUUGCCAUGUUUAACAACAUUUAAUAUUGUUGGGUACAUAAACGAGAUCGAACUAAAUAACUUGGCGUGGUGUUUCGUCAAUAUGCAACUCGUUGCAUAUUGAGCUCCACUUAAUUUGUAGGGUUGCUUGUGCACUUUUGCCAUGCCAUGCUUUAUUAAACCGGACAUGCAUCAUACUUGGUUGUGCAUCAUGCCAUGUUGAUGUGAUGGUUGUUUACUAUGUUGUUUGCUUCUUUCCGGUGUUGCUCCUUCGGGUUGGUUCCGAUAACAUCGUGUUUGUGAGGAUCCGUUGGCUACGUCCGUUUGUCUUCUUCAUGGACUCGUUCUUCUUCCUUGCGGAUUUCAG